Molecule: ribosomal RNA, 301 nt
Filed under: uncultured bacterium
Lineage: Bacteria
Description: partial 16S ribosomal RNA
Rfam family: Bacterial small subunit ribosomal RNA
Source: RNAcentral
CAGCCGCCACGGGAAUACGGAGGGAGCUAGCGUUGUUCGGAAUUACUGGGCGUAAAGCGCGCGUAGGCGGUUACUCAAGUCAGAGGUGAAAGCCCGGGGCUCAACCCCGGAACUGCCUUUGAAACUAGGUGACUAGAAUCUUGGAGAGGUCAGUGGAAUUCCGAGUGUAGAGGUGAAAUUCGUAGAUAUUCGGAAGAACACCAGUGGCGAAGGCGACUGACUGGACAAGUAUUGACGCUGAGGUGCGAAAGCGUGGGGAGCAAACAGGAUUAGAUACCCGGGUAGUCCCUGUCUCUUAUAC